CUGAUUGGCUCUUUGAGUCAUAUAAAAAUCGGCAGACUGCCCCAAACAGUUCAGUUCGGCAGUAUAUGUUCUGUUAGUGUGAGCGAGAGGCAGGUAUACUGGUAAACACUCUUCUGAGUUUAAACUGACUUCCACAUGGUCAAAACACGAUCCCGGUGUUGCCACUCCUCAGUAAGGACAGUAGCUAUUGGCUGUCCUAAAAGUCGCUGAAUUACGUCAUCGCCUAAUUUGCAUAAAGGUCUGUUCGCAUGUGAUUGACGCUGUAGAAGAGAAGAAUAACGUCAUGGGGGAGACAAAAGUACAUUUUUCCAGUGCUUGUCGAUUCACUAAAAUCAUGUCACAGAUGAAGGAACACAAGCAGUAGCUACCCCUCUCACAAGUCCUAGAACUGCAUCUCUGGCAGCACCUGUCAUCAUGCCUCCAACAUCUGCUAUGGAACCAGCAUUCAUGAGAGAUCUAUAGAUAGGUCAAAAUUUUGCACUCAUUUGGGGGCAUGUUACUGGGCCAAGAUUUUGUCAAUGACUGAAGAGGACCGCAUGAAGGCUAUCUGGGAGGUCCUGCACAGUGACGACCCAGAGGCUAAAGAACCUUUUUUGUUUUUGAGCACAGGGAGGAUAUGGAGCUGUUUUUGCAAGCCUGUCAUGAUGAGCAGAGACUCCGGAUCAAUACAAUGUUUACACAUUGUCCCUCACGCAGUGCCCCUCACCAAAAAAUAAAAUAAAAUAAAUUAUUGUAAAUGAA
This is a long non-coding RNA of Trichomycterus rosablanca, 741 nucleotides long. RefSeq lists it as uncharacterized. Lineage: Eukaryota; Metazoa; Chordata; Actinopteri; Siluriformes; Trichomycteridae. The transcript is spliced from 5 exons. The record is from RefSeq and is a predicted model, not a curated record.